This 466-nucleotide ribosomal RNA is filed under the name Vibrio tubiashii. RNAcentral describes it as "bacterial SSU rRNA". It matches the Rfam family "Bacterial small subunit ribosomal RNA", at positions 213 to 671 of the family's 1533-position model. Lineage: Bacteria; Pseudomonadati; Pseudomonadota; Gammaproteobacteria; Vibrionales; Vibrionaceae. The record is from RNAcentral.
UCUCGCGUCAGGAUAUGCCCAGGUGGGAUUAGCUAGUUGGUGAGGUAAGGGCUCACCAAGGCGACGAUCCCUAGCUGGUCUGAGAGGAUGAUCAGCCACACUGGAACUGAGACACGGUCCAGACUCCUACGGGAGGCAGCAGUGGGGAAUAUUGCACAAUGGGCGCAAGCCUGAUGCAGCCAUGCCGCGUGUAUGAAGAAGGCCUUCGGGUUGUAAAGUACUUUCAGCAGUGAGGAAGGCGGGUACGUUAAUAGCGUGCUCGUUUGACGUUAGCUGCAGAAGAAGCACCGGCUAACUCCGUGCCAGCAGCCGCGGUAAUACGGAGGGUGCGAGCGUUAAUCGGAAUUACUGGGCGUAAAGCGCAUGCAGGUGGUUUGUUAAGUCAGAUGUGAAAGCCCGGGGCUCAACCUCGGAAUUGCAUUUGAAACUGGCAGACUAGAGUACUGUAGAGGGGGGUAGAAUUUCA